Molecule: long non-coding RNA, 1467 nt
Filed under: Macaca mulatta (Rhesus monkey)
Lineage: Eukaryota; Metazoa; Chordata; Mammalia; Primates; Cercopithecidae
Description: lncRNA (ENSMMUG00000047427.2)
Source: RNAcentral
GUGAACCUCUCUGUGGGUUUCAGAACGCCAGGGUCUGAACAGAGAAGCUUCAGAAUACUUUCUCCGACUGGAGAACGUUUUUAUUGUGGGAGGAAAAAAUGUUGCCAGUCUCACUUCACAGACACCUGGAAUUCAUGAAGUCUGAGGACUUCUUUCAUUUUACUUUCAACUAAAAGCUCCAGCAUGAAACAGCAAAGGCUCACAGAGCUCAAGAUCAGGAGGUGGCCCUGUGAGAGGGUAUUCGGCCUGGAUCCCUGGUGAAACUCCAUCACUGAGCAGGUCUGUGAUAGCCCGUGUGGUCUGCUUUCUGUAGAUAAUACUCGGAGACUGUGCUGCAAACAUUCUCAGAUUAUUCAAAGAUGAACGAACAGUUCAAAUGGGCAGGUUUCUGUGAGUGCUUCCCUCUCAACCCCUUCCUUUUUUCAGUAUGUCUCCCUAUUUUCUUCCUCUCAAGCGUAUCUACUUCAGAAAACGUGGAAAGAAAAGAGCCUGGUGGGAAAAGUCGAUCAAGUGACAAUGACGUGCCCUUACGGAAAAAUCUCUGGGUUAAGAAACAAUGGAGAUACCAAACAAGAUAAGACUAAGCCACAGAGAUAUCUGAAAAACUGCCAUCAAUCAAACCUCUUUGUGAAGCCGGUUAGUGCAGCUUCCAUUGUUCUAAGCAGCAGGCAAAAGGAACAAAUAAAAUCCAGCUGUUUCUUCACUGUGGCACCAGAAAAUCCCUCCAAAACCCCCCAAGGUGAACCUCACGUCAACCAAAACCAAGACAUGAGCCAGAGCCUAAACAGAGGAAAGAAAACAGAAGAGAGGAUUCUAGUGAUGUAUCUGGUCAUCAUUCCAAGCAACCAAGCUGAACUUUUGCAUUGACAAACAAUUUUUUCCAGAGCAUUUUAAAAUUUACAGGUUGGUUUGCAACAAAGCUUUUCAAAAAGAAGUAUUUAUGAUGGUAAAUCGUUAAAAGAAAUGUGUUCUAGACCAAGAAAGGCAAAGCUUUCAUGUCUUGUUUAGUCUCUAGCAUGCUUGUUUGCAAAACACAAGCUCCAGUCUGCAUGUUUCCGCAAUCAACUGACUGUCUUAGAGAAUAUCUCAAAAUCAGUCUGUCCCCGUGCUUGCUUAUGAUUCCGCGGUAAUCCUCUGUUUGUAGUCACAAGUUGUCAGGAGAACAUCAUGUAAGGCAUGGUAUGAAGACUUAAGAAAUCUUGAAAUCAGAAACCUCAGUUUUCUUUCUCUUGAAGUGUUUCUAAGGGAAGAAAAAGGAGAAAGGAAAUUAGCAUCUACUGUUACCUCAUUUAAUUCCUUCAACAAUCUUAAGGGUAUUAUUGUCUCCAUUCCUCAAGAAAAGAAACCAAGGCUCAGAGAAAAGGACUCACCCGCCCUGUGACCAAUGACUGGGGGUCCCGGGUCAGAACCCAGAAUUCUGACUCGCACCCAGUGCUGGCUCCCCUGUGUCCCAGGGAUGGGCAGGAC